UUUGAUCCUGGCUCAGAAUGAACGCUGGCGGCGCGCCUAAUACAUGCAAGUCGAGCGAGAAGACGUAGCAAUACGUUUGUAAAGCGGCGAACGGGUGAGGAAUACAUGGGUAACCUACCCUAGAGUGGGGAAUAACUAGCCGAAAGGUUAGCUAAUACCGCGUACGCUUCUUGGACUUCGGUUCAGGGAGGAAAGCGCUACCGAGGGUAGCGCGCUCUUGGAUGGGCUCAUGUCCUAUCAGCUUGUUGGUGAGGUAAUGGCUCACCAAGGCUUCGACGGGUAGCUGGUCUGAGAGGACGAUCAGCCACACUGGCACUGCGACACGGGCCAGACUCCUACGGGAGGCAGCAGUAAGGAAUAUUGCGCAAUGGGCGAAAGCCUGACGCAGCGACGCCGCGUGGGGGAUGAAGGUCUUCGGAUUGUAAACCCCUUUCGGCAGGGAAGAUGGAAUGGGGUAACCCAUUCGGACGGUACCUGCAGAAGCAGCCACGGCUAACUUCGUGCCAGCAGCCGCGGUAAUACGAAGGUGGCAAGCGUUAUUCGGAUUUACUGGGCGUACAGGGAGCGUAGGCG
This 573-nucleotide ribosomal RNA is filed under the name uncultured Nitrospira sp. Its description in RNAcentral is "bacterial SSU rRNA". It matches the Rfam family "Bacterial small subunit ribosomal RNA", at positions 12 to 577 of the family's 1533-position model. Lineage: Bacteria; Pseudomonadati; Nitrospirota; Nitrospiria; Nitrospirales; Nitrospiraceae. The record is from RNAcentral.